Molecule: long non-coding RNA, 711 nt
Organism: Vigna angularis (adzuki bean)
Lineage: Eukaryota; Viridiplantae; Streptophyta; Magnoliopsida; Fabales; Fabaceae
Exons: 4
Source: RefSeq, a predicted model, not a curated record
UGCUUCGCCAGAAGUUCUAGAGAGAGAAGUGAUGGUGUUGUUGAAGGCAUCACCAACAAACCACACCUCGAGUCAGCGCUCUCCUUUGCAACAUCUUCUACUUUAUUUCAGCUAUUUUGGCCUUAGAAACACCAUCUUCACCGAUGAGUUCUUCGAUCUAUGGCCUCCGCUAGGGUUUCCCUCAUCUUUCAUCUUUUUCUUUGAUUUUAGCCGUUUAAAUCCUCUUUUGCUCCGAUUAAACACUUUCCACCGUUUAAUCGGUUAACCUAGUGUUUUAAGGUUCUUUCACCGUUCGAUUUAGGGUUUCCUUGCUUCAUUCACAGUUUUGGUUCAUUUGCUCUUGGAUUCGUAUCAUUCCGCUGCGUUUCACUCUUUGAGGGAGCUUCGAAGGAGUCCAUAGCGUGUUCGUUUGGGGUUCUUCUCUCGGAGCUUAUUCCAUCACCUCCCUUCGCAAGCGUGAGCACCGAUGGAGGUUGAGGCCAAAAAAGCUCACUGGAAAGAAUCACAUUUGGACAUCCAUUGGUGGUUACGAGAUAAAAGGGUUGGCUUUCUCAACAAUAAACCCGAACUGCAUCUAUAUUCAAGGGGUUGAUUAUGAGGCACCUAGUUGUUUUCUUUGCAUCUUGUGUAGAAGCUGAUUCCAAGGAUUAAAUAGGUUGAGCUUUCCUUCUCAUCCAUUGGAGGCUAUAAUAUACUUGUGAAAAAAUGUUU